CAUCGCUUAAAGCUUUGCAAACUUCAAAAGGGAAGCUUUUUGGUAGAGAUUGUUUUGCAGCAAACAUUGUUGUUCAGUUAAAUAAACUCCGUUACAAGGAUGGUAAAGGUGAUCCAAAAGGCUUUGUCACCUUUUUGGACGAGCAUGGUCUUCCUAGAGGACUUAUACCACGCUAUAGGGGAAAUCGAUUGCACAUACUUUUCAUACAUGUGGAACUUUAAUACAUCACUACCAGAAACUUCAGAGUUUUCUGUUUUCUGGAGUAGUGUUAUGUGGAGGACUGAGAAAUAGUCUUUUCCAAGACUUCACAUCUGAUACAGGUAUACGCGAGAUGUGUGCCCUAGGUUUAAUUGGAAAGUUAGUGACUGGUCCCUGGAUGAAAAAAUUCUAUGUUGCGCCAGGACAAGGACUUGACUAUUUGUCUGGCAUCCAAGUAAUCAAAAAUGUUUGCAAUGCACUUGUUGAAAGCAGUGCAUAAGUUCU
Molecule: long non-coding RNA, 483 nt
Organism: Hydra vulgaris (swiftwater hydra)
Lineage: Eukaryota; Metazoa; Cnidaria; Hydrozoa; Anthoathecata; Hydridae
Source: RefSeq, a predicted model, not a curated record